UUCGGUAAUCUAUUGGUGAAGUUAACUACCGAGGGCUUUUGCCCUUCGGUAACGGCUUACGAUGCUUUUAAGUUCAAAUGAAUACUUGUUCGUCAAAUGAACCCAAAUUUCCCAAAAAGUAGAAGUGUCUCCCCCUGUCGAACUCACUCCCUGACUUAGGGUUGAAACUUUGGUGGUCGUCGGCCGGUUCAAUGCUACGGUUUGACGGUGCGAGUUUGGUGGUGUGGGCGUUGAAGGAGGUUCAUUGUUGGGUGACACUCUUCCAUUCCCUACUCUUUGUUUGAAGCAGUUCGUUGGUUUGAAGCGUGAGGUUGUCACCCUAAGGCGGUUUGAAGCGGUUGUUGUUGCGAACGCUGACGGUGGUUCGUUGGUGGUUGGUUUGCAGCUAGGAUUCGUGUUUUGCUCCUUGUGACUGUUGCGACAAGGGUAGGGGUUGUUGGGGGUCUGCGUGUCGAGGACGUUGCAGUGAAGUGGUGUUGGUUCGGGAUUGGGCCGUAAAUGUUGUUAUCGGAGAUGUCAAAGUGGAGAAGGAGGUAGAGGUUUUUGUGGAGGUUAAGGAAGUAGAGGUACACUAGUGGAGAGAGAGAAUCAAUUGGACCACGGAGGUUGAGGGAAAGGCGGGAGAGGCCCACCACUCUGCUGUUUGGGGAGCACUCGACGCCGAGCCAAACAUUUACUUUUUCUAUCUCUGACUAUUGCAUUAUAAAUUUGAUCCAGAGGAGAGAUUUGGCAAAGUGAAUUUGGCUGGCAUUGAUUACUAUAACAGUCUAAUUGACACACUUCUUUCAAGAGGAAUAAAACCUUUUAUGACAAUAUCACAGACAGUAUCACAUUAUGAUAUUCCUGAAGAACUUCAGCAAAGAUACAAAGGUUAGCUAAGUCCUGAAAUUGAAUAUGGGCAAUCUUACGAGAAAGGUUUGAAUGGAAGAAAAUUCAAGGAGGGAGAAUUGGUGUUGCCAUGAAUACCAAAUGGUUUGAACCCAUCAACAAUUCUUCAGAAGACAAGAAAGCUGCAGAAUGAGCUCAAUCAUGUUAAAUGCCUUUAUUAAGUUUUGAGAUUUGAUGCAUGCAUGACCAGAAGAAAGUGCUCAUUAUUUGGUUUGGUCACAGCUCCUACUUUUUCCAUGUUGAGGAGAAAAGAAGGGUCCUCUGCUUUAAGUCAUAAACAAGC
Long non-coding RNA from Vigna radiata var. radiata (mung bean), 1171 nucleotides. RefSeq lists it as uncharacterized. The transcript is spliced from 3 exons. NCBI's taxonomy places the organism in Eukaryota, Viridiplantae, Streptophyta, Magnoliopsida, Fabales, Fabaceae. The record is from RefSeq and is a predicted model, not a curated record.